GAUGAAGAACGCAGCGAAAUGCGAUAAGUAGUGUGAAUUGCAGAAUUCAGUGAAUCAUCGAAUCUUUGAACGCACCUUGCGCUCCUUGGUAUUCCGAGGAGCAUGCCUGUUUGAGUGUCAUGAAAUUCUCAACCUUUUCAGCUUUCUUUGUUGAUCAGGCUUGGAUGUGGGAGUAUGCGGGCUUCUCAGAAGUCGGCUCUCCUGAAAUGCAUUAGCGGGACCUUUGUUGCCUGGCUUUGGUGUGAUAAUUAUCUACGCCAUUGUAGUCAAGCAGCUUAAAAUGAGGUUUCAGCUUCUAACCGUCUCCCCUGAGACAACUUUUUGACAAUUUGACCUCAAAUCAGGUAGGACUACCCGCUGAACUUAAGCAUAUCAAUAAGCGGAGGA
This 387-nucleotide unclassified non-coding RNA is filed under the name soil metagenome. RNAcentral's name for it is "partial contains 5.8S ribosomal RNA, internal transcribed spacer 2, and large subunit ribosomal RNA". The stretch from base 1 to 120 matches the Rfam family "5.8S ribosomal RNA", at positions 35 to 154 of the family's 154-position model. The record is from RNAcentral.